CACAGACAUGGGCACGUGGGCAUUUCCUUUGGCCCCCGACCCACUCCACCCUCAGUACAGAGCGGCAAGCGCACAGGCACACGCAAACACAAACAAAGAAAAAAAGAGUCAUCUCCCUCUAACGUAGCGUGUGUGUAGAGGACACAAAAGACAGAGGAAAAAGACUCGACCCGACGACCUGAUACACCGUGAUUGAAUCAGGUGGCACACAUCUUACAUGGCCAGCCAUCGGUGCGUGGUGACGACAAAGGAAGAACCAGCUCGAUGACUUGGUGGACAGCUGUCUCCUCUACCCUGUUGUUGUUUUUUUUUUGUGUGUAUGUGCGUGUGUGGGUCUCUAGCUCACUUUUGUUCCUCCUUGUGCAGCGCUCGCUUGCCGCACUUCCUCUGUCGCUCACCCUCCAGGUUUUAUGGCCCUCCUUGUGCUUUAUCCGAGCGAGGCGAAAAGGCAGAACUUCCCUGACGCCCUUCUCAUCGUCUGACGUCUCCUCGUCGUCUCAAUAGUGAGUCUGGGACGCUCUCACUUGUGUAUCCAUUUGUUUUUUGGUUGCCACACAACUCCAGUGCCACAAAGAGCGAGCGCACGAAAAGCGAAAGGUACUGUGGCUCGCUCGACUUGUGCCCAAGUGCGCUUUCGUGAGCGCACGGAUGUGAACGUGUGACGAUUGAGUGCCGCCCCUUUUCUUCUCCUUGGCAGACACGCAGAUACACGCUAGCCUUCUAUCCACCUUUUUCUUUGGCAAGCGGGUCCGUGGAACGCUUUACUCGGCUGUUCUCGCUUGUGGAUUUCUCAUAUCGCUCUCCGUUUUCUUGCGAGGCUCUCGCUAAUAAAUUUUCUGCGUUCCCGGAGCUUCACUUCGGAGAGGGUCGCGGGCUCAUGCAGCGGACGCCGCUGGUGUCGUCGCAUGGUCGCAGCGCGUCUCCGAUCGUGCGGUUCAGCAGCCCACACGUGAAAAAUGUGGUGCGGCCCAAGGCAGUGCUGACGACGCUCACUCUGCUCGGGGUCAUCUACACCGCCAGCAUCAGCGGUGGCUACGGUCUUGAGGAAUCCGUCAGGGCUGGCGGCCCGCUGCUGUCCAUCCUCUUACUCUGCUUCAUCCCGUUCGUCUGGGGCAUUCCUGUGUCGCUGUGCGUGGCGGAGCUGUCCUGCGCUAUUCCGUCGAAUGCCGGACCGAUCAUGUGGGUCAACUGCGCCUUUCCGUCGUGGAUGACGCUCAUGACAGUGCUGUGGACAGCCUUUUUGAACUCCGUCGACAACAGCCUGUACCCCGCCGUCUUCGCCGACUACUGCGCUACGCUGUUUCAUCUCGGCUGGUUGGAAAGCGCGCUCGUGAAGGUCAUCUUCCUGUGUAUAUGCGCCGUCAUCAACGUCGUCGGCGUGGCGCUUGUCGGCGUCCUCAGCGUCGGCAUCAUGUUUAUCACCAUCCUGCCCUUCUUCGUAAUCUUCUUGCUGCAGUUGCCGCACGGCCUCAACUGGAAGCGCAUUACGUACAUUCCGGACAGCAUCGACUGGGCGGCGUUUCUCCCCGUCGUUGCGUGGAACUUCUCCGGCUUCGACUCGGCCGGUAACGUGAUUGAGGAGGUGCAGAACCCGAACCCGACCUUCAUCCGCGCGCUCAUCAUCAUGAUCGCCGUGGCGCUGGCCACGUACAUCCCGCCCAUUCUGGCUGGUGCCUCAGCCGAGAAGCUGAGCCACGUCAGCUUCGACCAGUGGGGCGAUGGCUUCUGGGUGAAGGUCGGCGAGGCGGUUGGCGGGACCCCGAUGGCAGCGACUAUCAUGGUCGGCGGCACCAUCUCAACUCUUGGGCUCAUGACCACCCUUCUGGCGACAACCUCGCGAUCGCUGGCGGGCAUGGGAACGUUGAACGCGUUUCCAUCGUUUUUUUCAAAGUGGUUGGAGAAGUACUCGGACACCUACAGGACCCCGGUAAACGCCAUCCUCGUCAACACCACUGUCACGUGCGCUCUGUCUCUCUGCCUGACCUUUCAAACGCUGGUGCAACUGGACCAGGUGCUCUACGCGUUGCGCCUCAUCGUCAUACUUUCCUCCUUCUUGAAACUGCGUCUCACACAGCCACUGCUAGAGCGUCCGUACCGGGCUCCUGGCGGCAAAGCUGCCGCCGUCGUCUUGGCUGGUGUCCCCAUCACCUUCAGCGCGUUUCUCAUCGCCAUGACCAUGACGGGCGGGCCAUUCGUCUUCUACAGCAGCGUCGUCCUCAUCGCUGGCACUGUUGUCGUCUCCUACAUCACCGUUCGCUUUUUCCGCUCCGACGGAUUUGAGGGGUCACUGGUCGAGGAGUACGAGGACGCGGACAUGUCCACAUACGGUACGAUUCUGGAAAUGGAGUCCUCCGAGUGGCGCCUACUUCACCAGAGGCACACGUUUAUCGACUGUCCGCCUCGCAUCAACGUUGCCCGCCUUCACGCUUGAAUCGUUCAUGCAUGUAUGCAAUAACACACCUGGAGGCGCUUAGGAGCACAAGAAGUGAGGAAGAGAAUGUACACGGACACGAGUUUAUCAGACCCUACAUCCCCUCGCACGGCCUUUGGGGCAUUGCGGACGGAUCGCGCGCUCACACAUCUUUGCUUUCGCGUUGUUUUCUUUCCCACAUCUCCGCGUGCUGAUGCGCAGUGCGCA
This 2638-nucleotide unclassified non-coding RNA is filed under the name Leishmania donovani. Its description in RNAcentral is "gene:LdHU3.35.5910(CDS-product:amino_acid_permeas e_putative)". Lineage: Eukaryota; Euglenozoa; Kinetoplastea; Trypanosomatida; Trypanosomatidae. The record is from RNAcentral.